GGGCGUGCUUAACACAUGCAAGUCGAACGAAGCACUUAUCUUUGAUUCUUCGGAUGAAGAGAUUUGUGACUGAGUGGCGGACGGGUGAGUAACGCGUGGGUAACCUGCCUCAUACGGGGGGAUAACAGUUAGAAAUGACUGCUAAUACCGCAUAAGACCACAGAGCCGCAUGGCUCGGUGGGAAAAACUCCGGUGGUAUGAGAUGGACCCGCGUCUGAUUAGGUAGUUGGUGGGGUAACGGCCUACCAAGCCAACGAUCAGUAGCCGACCUGAGAGGGUGACCGGCCACAUUGGGACUGAGACACGGCCCAAACUCCUACGGGAGGCAGCAGUGGGGAAUAUUGCACAAUGGGGGAAACCCUGAUGCAGCGACGCCGCGUGAGCGAAGAAGUAUUUCGGUAUGUAAAGCUCUAUCAGCAGGGAAGAAAAUGACGGUACCUGACUAAGAAGCACCGGCUAAGUACGUGCCAGCAGCCGCGGUAAUACGUAUGGUGCAAGCGUUAUCCGGAUUUACUGGGUGUAAAGGGAGCGUAGACGGCUGUGUAAGUCUGAAGUGAAAGCCCGGGGCUCAACCCCGGGACUGCUUUGGAAACUAUGCAGCUAGAGUGUCGGAGAGGUAAGUGGAAUUCCCAGUGUAGCGGUGAAAUGCGUAGAUAUUGGGAGGAACACCAGUGGCGAAGGCGGCUUACUGGACGAUGACUGACGUUGAGGCUCGAAAGCGUGGGGAGCAAACCAGGAUUAGAUAACCGGGUAUUCCACGCCGUAAACGAUGAUUACUAGGGGUCGGGGAGCAAAGCUCUUCGGUGCCGCAGCAAACGCAAUAAGUAGUCCCACCCUGGGGAGUACGUUCGCAAGAAUGAAACUCAAAGGAAUUGACGGGGACCCGCACAAGCGGUGGAGCAUGUGGUUUAAUUCGAAGCAACGCGAAGGACCUUACCUGCUCUUGACAUCCCGGUGACCGGCAUGUAAUGAUGCCUUUUCUUCGGAACACCGGUGACAGGUGGUGCAUGGUUGUCGUCAGCUCGUGUCGUGAGAUGUUGGGUUAAGUCCCGCAACGAGCGCAACCCUUAUCUUCAGUAGCCAGCAUUUUGGAUGGGCACUCUGGAGAGACUGCCAGGGAUAACCUGGAGGAAGGUGGGGAUGACGUCAAAUCAUCAUGCCCCUUAUGAGCAGGGCUACACACGUGCUACAAUGGCGUAAACAAAGGGAAGCGAGCCUGCGAGGGUAAGCAAAUCUCAAAAAUAACGUCUCAGUUCGGAUUGUAGUCUGCAACUCGACUACAUGAAGCUGGAAUCGCUAGUAAUCGCGAAUCAGCAUGUCGCGGUGAAUACGUUCCCGGGUCUUGCAAAGACCCUCCGUC
RNAcentral lists this ribosomal RNA (1360 nucleotides) under uncultured bacterium. Its description in RNAcentral is "bacterial SSU rRNA". It matches the Rfam family "Bacterial small subunit ribosomal RNA", at positions 40 to 1398 of the family's 1533-position model. The record is from RNAcentral.